ACAAAAAGGUGAAAGUAGGGCAAUAUUACAUGAUUGCGUAAGCAGAAAUUAAUCUCAAUUCCCUUUUCUCCUCUGCCAACAGUGGUUUGAUGUCUACUUCAGACUGGUGCGGCCACAGCUCCUGAGACCCACCAAGAGAGAAAGGGAGAUGUGGAGGAUGAGUCUGAUGCUGCGAAGAGGUUCUUUGUCUCCUCCACAGGGAUGGCAAUCUACAAUCCCUCAAAUGACUUGAUGCGGCUGCACUCAAAGUGAAUCAUUUCCCCUCUUAUAUGUCUGCUCAUGUUCUGUUCAUUGCUGUCUCAGGUGAGAUGUCUCUAUGAAUCUCUAAUAUACUGUUCAAACUUACAUUUUAGAUACAAGCUCCGGUCAGUGACCAGCCAGAUGGCUCGGAUUGCAUUUGAAACGGCAAGUAAGAGCUUGAACGAUGCUGAAAGGGCACUGGUGGCGGGAUACCUGACUCAUUCCAGCCAAACAGCUGACAAGCAUUACCGCAUGAAGAACCGUGAACACAUUGUAAAGGGCUGUCAGCUGCUGACCAGCCUGGUUAGUGUGUCAAGUGCUGAGUCUCCUGGGGAAGGUACCAGCCGAGAGUCUUUGAGGAGCCGUGAGGAGUGUUCCAGCCAUGCUGCCCAUCAAGCUGUCCCUUCCAUCAAACAGCCAACGAUAAGUCUGACAAGGCUCCCCUCUGUCAAUGACAGCAAAACAUUCUCGAAGGCAUUUGAAACCCUCCUGCAAACCCACCCUCUUUCACUGAAUGGGAAAAGGCCAGAAAUGAAGAAAUGCAAGGCUGUGUCUAAAGAAUUUCAGGAGAAGCUUUCCAGUCAGUGGGCGAAGAAGCAGUUUGAAAUGCGUGCACAACAUGCUUGCACCUAUUUCAGUCGGCGUAAGCCAACAAAAGAGCAGCUCCAAUCUUGGACAAGCAAGCAGGGAUGGAAGAAUAUGGCUGCCGACUGCGAAAAACUUCUUCAGAACUGGGCACCAUCUGGAUCUGAGGACCAUAUCAUGGACAGCAAACUGAUACAGACACUGGUGAAAUCCCAGAAAUGGAGAGGACUUCACAUCAGAGAAUGUGACGGGAAGGGCAGAGGGAUCAUUACCACGUGCAGAUUUGAGGCUGGCGAGGUGCUCUGUGACUACCAUGGACCUGUUGUCACGUCCAGUGAGGGCCACAAAACACACAAGAGCACCACUGAGAUUUACUGCCAUGGCCCAUGCCUUCUGCCAGUUUGUGCUAUCAGCAGUGAAGUGGAAAUCCGCCAAUACACCCUCAAAAUGUCUAGUGAUAACUGCAACUGUGUCCUCAGUCCAGUGUCUGCAAGCUGUGUUAACUUGCUUGUGCACGUUCCUGUCAAAUGGCUCCAAAGUAAGGAAAAUAACAAUUCUAAUACUUGCUUACAUACUGGAUUGUGA
RNAcentral lists this long non-coding RNA (1410 nucleotides) under Sparus aurata (gilthead seabream). RNAcentral's name for it is "lncRNA (ENSSAUG00010002236.1)". Lineage: Eukaryota; Metazoa; Chordata; Actinopteri; Spariformes; Sparidae. The record is from RNAcentral.